This 507-nucleotide ribosomal RNA is filed under the name uncultured bacterium. RNAcentral describes it as "partial 16S ribosomal RNA". It matches the Rfam family "Bacterial small subunit ribosomal RNA", at positions 29 to 523 of the family's 1533-position model. The record is from RNAcentral.
AGUGAACGCUGGCGGUAGGCCUAACACAUGCAAGUCGAACGGCAGCACAGAGGAGCUUGCUCCUUGGGUGGCGAGUGGCGGACGGGUGAGGAAUACAUCGGAAUCUACUCUGUCGUGGGGGAUAACGUAGGGAAACUUACGCUAAUACUGCAUACGACCUACGGGUGAAAGCAGGGGACCUUCGGGUCUUGCGCGAUUGAAUGAGCCGAUGUCGAGAUUCGGUAGUUGGCGUGGUAAAGGCCCACGAAGGCGACGAUCCGUAGCUGGUCUGUGAGGAGGAUCAGCGACACUGGAACUGAGACACAGUCCAGACUCGUCCGGGAGGCAGCAGUGGGGAAUGUUGGACAAUGGGCGCAAGCCUGAUCCAGCCAUACCGCGUGGGUGAAGAAGGGCUUCGGGUUGUAGAGCCCUUUUGGUGGGAAAGAAAGCCAGCUGGCUAAUACCCGGUUGGGAUGACGGUACCCAAAGAAUAAGCACCGGCUAACUUCGUGCCAGCCGCCGCAGUAA